Molecule: long non-coding RNA, 1004 nt
Organism: Heterocephalus glaber (naked mole-rat)
Lineage: Eukaryota; Metazoa; Chordata; Mammalia; Rodentia; Bathyergidae
Source: Ensembl
AAAUUUUAUGUGUAUUUUGCCACAAUUACAAACAUUUAACAAAUAUGUUAACCUCACUUUUUUUUUGAUACCGGAGAUCGAACUCAGGUCCUUGUGCUUGCAGGGCAGGCGGCAGCACCACUGAGCUAAAUCCCCGGCCCUACCCUUACUUUUAAGAGAAUGGAUAUAGGAAGGGAAACAGAGAGUGUGUGUACAGUGCUGGGUUUAGAUUGGAGGAAGCUCCAGUCCCCAAUCUGGUCCCUGGUCUGUGGGCCCUACACUUCUGCUGGGUGCUGGCCCAUGAUUUAUGGUGUUUUGACUUAGAAUCUUCCCACUUUUUGAUUGUAUCAAAGUGAUACGCAUUCUAUAAAAGAAACCUUUGAAUUUUGGUCUCUUCCUGCCUGAGUUACAAAGUGCAGCUACGAGUCAGAGUCACUUGUUUCAAAUGAUUAAAUAAUGGAUACUCUACAGCAGGGCUCCCCAAACCACAGAGCACUACUGGUCUUUGGCCUUUUAGGGACUGGACUGCACAGCAGGAAGGAAGUGUUGGACAAGGAAGCCAAUCCUUAUCCGUAUUUACAGCCCUUCGCAUAACCACCUGAGCUCUGCUUCCUGUCAGAUCAACAUUAGAUUCUCAUUGGAGCAUGGACCUACUGUGAACUGCGUAUUUGAGGGAUCUAGGUUUUGUGCUUUUUAUGAAAAUCUUAUUCCUGAUGAUCUGAGGUGGUGAUGCUGGUACUGAGGAGUGGUUGCAAGUGCACAUUAACAGCAGAGAGGUUUGCACAGAGACUAUGAUAAAUCAACUGUUCCUAGACUCAAUAUCAAAACCCUGUCAGUGAGUGGCUAGCAAUUCUACAUUAUGUAACCGUGGGGCUUCCCACCUGCACCCUUCUCUCAACAACCACAGUGAUGAGAGAACACUUCUGCCCUCAGUCAUGGAAUGAACCCGUCACCACCUCACCAGUGUAUUUGACUCUGCUCCUUCCUCGGUAAUUCUCACUAAUUUAGAAAACUAUCUUUUCUGC